Long non-coding RNA from Talpa occidentalis (Iberian mole), 1848 nucleotides. RefSeq lists it as uncharacterized. The transcript has 3 exons. The record is from RefSeq and is a predicted model, not a curated record. NCBI's taxonomy places the organism in Eukaryota, Metazoa, Chordata, Mammalia, Eulipotyphla, Talpidae.
AAAACAAUAGCUUUUUAGGAUAUAACUCAUAAGCCAUAUACAUCACCUACUUAAAGUACAAUUUACUGACUUUUAUUAUAUUCAGAGUUGUGUAGCCAUUGAUUGCCACAAUCAAUUUAUAAGUAUUUUCAUCACCCUAAGAGGAUAUCCUAUCCCCAUUAGAAGUCAUUCCCCUUCUCUUAGCCCUGGGCAGCAGCUAAUCUAUUUUUUGUCUCUACAGAUUUAUCUUUUCUAGAGAUUUCACAUAAAUAUAACUAUACAAUAUAUGAUCUUUGUGACUGACUUUUCUGUAACCUCCGAUUUCAAGGUUCUUCUAUGUAGUUUUCAAGUCAGUCCAACCAGUAGUGGCUAAAUGGGCAUCACUGUGCAGAGGUGGGCUCCAGUGUGCCCUGUGACCUUUCCCAGGAUGUACUCUGGCUGGUGGCUAUGUGAACAAGGAUGAAAUGGGAUGAUCAGUUUGGUUAAUUUUCAGCUCACACCAAACUGAACCUUUAGGUUGGCUGCAUGGAGACUGCAGAUAAGCCUGUUGAAGACAACAGAUCACAUGGAAACCAAAAUGUCAAUCAAUGUUGAUCCUCCAUCACUUCCCGGCCUGUUAUCUGAACGCUGUCCUAAGAUCACCUGCAGAUGAAGGAUAAAGACAGCUGCACUGAAGUCCUGGAGUUAGGAUAGGUGUGAAGGUUCUUGCUCAUCUUCAGUAAGAGCUGCUUCAUUCUGCUCCUCGCUCACUUCAUUGGCUCGUUCUUCAUAAAUAGGCUCACCGAGGUCUUCACUGCCUCCUUCACUUUGCUCUUCGCUGUGUUCUUCGCUGGGUUCCACAGUCUGUUCCAGGCUAUUUUCCAGAAGUGUGGGAGAAUUGCUUAUUCUACUUUCUUCUUCAACUGUCUCAUUUAAGGACUGGGAAGGAGGUGGUGUGGGAGUAUCAGAUUGCAUGACACUUUCAGUGGAAGAGAUGGGGACUUUGGUUAGAGUAGUAUCUGCUACCACCUCAUUUUGAGGCAAAGAUAACUUCUCCACAAGUUUCCACUGAAUGAUGCUCAUGUCUUUUCCACCGGUUGAAAUCAGGUGACUGUCAUUAUGAGUAAAGCUGACAUUGGUGACGUGGCUGCUGUGGGCACUGUAUUUGUGACUGGGAGCCUAUCGCAAAUAAAUCAGAUAGGAAAAUUAAACUUUACAUGCCAGCUUACAGCAAUGGAGGUGACCAGGUAAGGCAGGUAAAUCAGCAUAUGAAACAGGUAAUUCAAAUCAAAGCCAAAGUCAUCAAAUCUGAGGAAUUAAGCUAGUAGCAAUUUCCUUUUAAUGUCUAUUGUUGGGAGAAACAAAACAAGAGUAAUUGGAUUCUUAUACUUUUUUAGACUAUGUUUAAAAAACAACUAAAAGUUGUUUUUCUGUCUUCUGUUUUGUAUACUUGUCAGAACCUAGCAGCUUCUAUUGAAAUGACAGAGAGAGAACUUACUAGGUUGGCAGGAUUAUAGAGGAUUUAGAAAAAAGUUCCCUGAGUUUUAUAAUGCUGGUCAUAUUUUAGUAUGUUUUGUAUGUUUAUAUUUUAAAGUUUAUGAGAAAUUUAAAAUUGCCCAAAAAAAUCAAAAUAAAAAAACCGAACAAUAUGAAUACAGUAACUGCCCUCUAUAUUUUUCCCUUAGGCUGAAAGAGGAAGGAAAAGACAGGUGUGAUUCCUGCUGGGAUGCUAAGAGAGGGUCCGAGAGGGUCCUGUGCUGCUUCUGCACAUUCUAGUACCAUUCCCGAGCUGUCCUGUACCAUGGACAGCUAAUUAGUAACUGUAAAUAUUUUUUCACCAGUGGGCCUCCCCGGUGGUGCAGCGGUUGAGCGCUGGGCUGUGAAGCUGCC